UGAACGCUGGCGGAAUGCUUUACACAUGCACGUCGAGCGGCAGCACGGGGGCAACCCUGGUGGCGAGCGGCGAACGGGUGAGUAAUACAUCGGAACAUGCCCAGUCGUGGGGGAUAACACUUCGAAAGAAGUGCUAAUACCGCAUACGUCCUGAGGGAGAAAGCGGGGGAUCGCAAGACCUCGCGCGAUUGGAGUGGCCGAUGUCAGAUUAGCUAGUUGGUGGGGUAAAGGCCUACCAAGGCAACGAUCUGUAGCUGGUCUGAGAGGAUGAUCAGCCACACUGGGACUGAGACACGGCCCAGACUCCUACGGGAGGCAGCAGUGGGGAAUUUUGGACAAUGGGGGCAACCCUGAUCCAGCCAUUCCGCGUGAGUGAAGAAGGCCUUCGGGUUGUAAAGCUCUUUCGGCAGGAACGAAACGGUGAGCUCUAACAUAGCUCGCUAAUGACGGUACCUGAAGAAGAAGCACCGGCUAACUACGUG
This 482-nucleotide ribosomal RNA is filed under the name uncultured bacterium. RNAcentral describes it as "partial 16S ribosomal RNA". It matches the Rfam family "Bacterial small subunit ribosomal RNA", at positions 30 to 507 of the family's 1533-position model. The record is from RNAcentral.